Molecule: long non-coding RNA, 570 nt
Organism: Papaver somniferum (opium poppy)
Lineage: Eukaryota; Viridiplantae; Streptophyta; Magnoliopsida; Ranunculales; Papaveraceae
Exons: 3
Source: RefSeq, a predicted model, not a curated record
GUUACACAUGCUAAUUAGAUGUGUAACUUAUAUAUACACAUGAUAGAACGCAGUUUACACAAGAUGUGUAACUGCAGUUUACACAAGCAUUGUAUAUAUGUAACUGCAGUUUACACAAGCAUUGUAUAUAUGUAACUACAGUUUACACAAGAUGUGCAUAUGAGAUGUGAAGACGUUGAGGUGAAACUUUAUUUCAAGCAGUGUGCGUAUGAGAUGCAAGCAGUGCUGAGCUUCGAUGCUCGUGUUGUUGGAAGUAUACUGUGAAGACAUUGAGGCGUUUUUUUGGGACAGUUCAUGUGUUGGCUUAUGGAGUAUCUACCUUAAACAGUGCAGUUGCUUGUAAGAAAUGCUAAAAGGAACCGCAGUCAUGGUUUGCUAUUUGUGGUAUUGGUCUCGCUGGAACUGGAGUUAACGCUGAAUACACAAGUCAGAUGCAUGUGUAACUCUCAAUGACACUAGAUAGACGCAUAUGUAACUCUCGAUUACACUAGACAGAUGUGUGUGUAAAUUCUAGUUACACAUGCUAAAAAAUUGUUGUAAACGAAUAUUAAAGUAAUACAUGUAUUUUUU